This 460-nucleotide ribosomal RNA is filed under the name uncultured bacterium. RNAcentral describes it as "partial 16S ribosomal RNA". It matches the Rfam family "Bacterial small subunit ribosomal RNA", at positions 338 to 795 of the family's 1533-position model. The record is from RNAcentral.
CCUACGGGUGGCAGCAGUGAGGAAUAUUGGACAAUGGACGAGAGUCUGAACCAGCCAAGUAGCGUGAAGGAUGACUGCCCUAUGGGUUGUAAACUUCUUUUAUAAAGGAAUAAAACGAGGCACGUGUGCCUUUUUGCAUGUACUUUAUGAAUAAGGAUCGGCUAACUACGUGCAAGCAGCCGCGGUAAUCCGGAGGAUCCGAGCGUUAUCCGUAUUUAUUGGGUUUAAAGGAAGCGUAGAUGGGUUGUUAGGUCAGUUGUGAAAGUUUGCGGCUCAACCGUAAAAUUGCAAUUGAUACUGGCAGUCUUGAGUACAGUUGGGGUAGGCGGAAUUCGUGGUGUAGCGGUGAAAUGCUUAGAUAUCACGAAGAACCCCGAUAGCGAAGGCAGGUUACUAAGCUGGGACUGACAUUGAUGCUCGAAAGUGUGGGUAGCAAACAGGAUUAGAUACCCGGGUAGUC